UAGGUUUUCAACGCUGUCAGUAAUAGCAGUACUGGAGCCUACAAAUCAUCUACUAAGAAUGUCUUGGCUAAUGUCCAUUUCUGAAUAGAGAAGUCAGAGAGUAGCCUGCUGAACUUGGGAGAACACAAGAAUUAUUCCUGAAAGAGAUCAGAAUAUAUUUUGGGGAGAAAAAGUGAACAGAUGGAGAACAGACAUGGAGAUGCUACAGAGAUGACAGAGGCUAUUGGGGCAAUCAAGAUACAGAUAAUGGCUUUCGGACUCAGCAAACCCCAGUAGAGGGAGUGUGGCAUCAACGGGGAGGAGUUCAAAAGCAAGUCUGAGGGUGAAAAUUCUCAGAUGACAACCCACAAGGACAAUGAAGAUGGGGCAGACUGUUAAGCAUCUCAUUUGUGAGCUUUGAAAGACACAUUUACUAGCAUGGAUAAAUGAAGCACAGCACUAACCAAAAUAGAUUAUUUAGAGUAUUAGUCACUUCACAAAUACAAAAGACCUAUGGAUAAUUUAAGCUGGAUAUAUUUCAAAACACCUUGGCAUGCUGCUGGUCAUUAGGAUAUGGCUGGUGGUUAUGUCAAUAUGUAUCAUUUACUAAGGAAGAAUUCAUCAACAUUGCCAUUUUGUAUGCUCAAUAAACCAGCAGAUGGUGUAUGACA
This 650-nucleotide long non-coding RNA is filed under the name Canis lupus dingo (dingo). RNAcentral's name for it is "lncRNA (ENSCAFG00020026517.1)". The record is from RNAcentral. Lineage: Eukaryota; Metazoa; Chordata; Mammalia; Carnivora; Canidae.